UUUGAGAGUUUGAUUCUGGCUCAGAACAAACGCUGGCGGCGUGCCUAACACAUGCAAGUCGUACGUGAAAGUCCCGCAAGGGACAAGUAAAGUGGCGACCGGGUGAGUAAUACAUAGGUAACCUACUUAUAAGUUGGGAAUAACAGUUCGAAAGGACUGCUAAUACCGAAUAUUAUAUUAUAACACAAGUUGUAAUAUCAAAGAUGGCCUCUUUACAAUGCUAUCGCUUAUAAAUGGGCUUAUGAACCAUUAGCUAGUUGGUGGAGUAAUAGCCUACCAAGGCAAUGAUGGUUAGCUGGUCUGAGAGGAUGAUCAGCCACACUGGAACUGAAACACGGUCCAGACUCCUACGGGAGGCAGCAGUGGGGAAUAUUGCGCAAUGGGGGAAACCCUGACGCAGCAACGCCGCGUGAGCGAUGAAGGCCUUCGGGUUGUAAAGCUCUGUCAGAUGGGAAGAAACCCCAUUACUCUAAUACAGUUAUGGAUUGACGGUACCAUCAAAGGAAGCACCGGCUAACUCCGUGCCAGCAGCCGCGGUAAUACGGAGGGUGCAAGCGUUGUUCGGAAUUACUGGGCGUAAAGGGCGCGUAGGCGGUAUAAUAAGUUAGGUGUGAAAUCUUCGGGCUUAACCCGAAAAGUGCACUUAAAACUGUUAUACUAGAGUUCGGGAGGGGAAAGCGGAAUUCCUAGUGUAGAGGUGAAAUUUGUAGAUAUUAGGAAGAACACCGGUGGCGAAGGCGGCUUUCUGGAACGAUACUGACGCUGAGGCGCGAAAGCGUGGGGAGCAAACAGGAUUAGAUACCCUGGUAGUCCACGCCGUAAACGAUGAACACUAAGUAUAGGAGGAUUAUUCCUCCUGUG
RNAcentral lists this ribosomal RNA (861 nucleotides) under Candidatus Acidulidesulfobacter diazotrophicus. RNAcentral's name for it is "bacterial SSU rRNA". It matches the Rfam family "Bacterial small subunit ribosomal RNA", at positions 1 to 845 of the family's 1533-position model. Lineage: Bacteria; Candidatus Acidulodesulfobacteriota; Candidatus Acidulidesulfobacterales; Candidatus Acidulidesulfobacteraceae. The record is from RNAcentral.